This 1754-nucleotide long non-coding RNA is filed under the name Homo sapiens (human). Its description in RNAcentral is "HSALNT0332511". Lineage: Eukaryota; Metazoa; Chordata; Mammalia; Primates; Hominidae. The record is from RNAcentral.
CGUGAUCAACCUGCCUCGGGCUCCCAAAGUGCUGGGAUUACAGGCGUGAGCCACCGCGCCCGGCCAGAAUGAGAUUUUUAACACGAGCAGGAAGCACUCCAUGUAAACCUACUGUUUAAUUGGAUAUUGUACUCAAAGGUGCUUCUCUAAAUGAGCCAGUGAAAACCCAAGUGGGCGUUGGAUAAUACUUAACAGAUAGGGUUGCAUAGUUUCAGUGUAACGGUGCCUCUGUGGGUUACAGCACCAUGGUCAAAACUGGAAAAAUAGUUUCUUAGAAACGAAUAAAGGCAAACUAUGGGAAAAUGGUCAUGGAAGGCUCUCUCACUAAGAAGAAGAAAACUCAGAAUGUCUUGUUAUUAGCAACAUAGAUCUCCAACUAAAGGGCUUACUCAUCCCUGCACUUGUGAUGUCUGCAUGGAGAUGAAACAGAGAUUCAAAAGGGUCAGGUCACUGGCUCCAGGUCAACUCUACUACUAAACAGAAAAGCAAGGACCAAAAUUCAGAUCUUUGUGACCCUCAAUGCCACUAUGCCAUGCGAUGAUGCCUGCCUCUUUUAGAGGCCAACUAAUAGGCCAACUUGAUUUUCUUGAGGAAUGGCCGAAUGGAAGUUGAAUGGUUGAAGGUGACUGGCAAACAGAGAAACAAGGCACCAAGAACUGGCUAUUUCCAAACGUGGGCAAUCAGCUUCUGAAUGAAUAGUUCAGAAUGAUGCAGCUCUGGAUGUUGGAAAGGACAAUUCCGGCGUUUUACUCUUCUGACCAGUUUCUUCGUUUUCAUAACUCUACUUGAAGAACAUAUGAUGUUUGCCAGUGUCUGACAUUACGGACCUCACAGCUUACUGAAUCUGAAAACAGGAGAUAGAGAUGGAAAGGAAAGCCUCAGGAACUUGUUGCAAUAGGGACUGCCAGGUCCCGUUGCACUAUUGGUGGAAGAGAGGUCCACACGGUGCCUACGAUAAGCGAUUUGUUCGUAUCUAUCCAGACUGCAGGUGCAUACAGCCACUCAUCCUCAAAUGCCAUCCUCAGGAGUUUAUGCUGCACACAGACUGGCACAUGUGCAGGAAGACAUAGUGCAGGGCUACGUGCUACAACAUUGUUGGUGACAGCAACAUAUUGGAAGCAACCUGAAUUUUUGUUAAUAGAGGAUUGGCUACAUAAAUGAUGCUAAUCUAUACAACUGGAGUACUAUGAUGCCAUAAAAAAGAAUGUACAAGGUCUUUACGUUUGGAAAGAUCUCUAAGAUAUAAUGAUUUUCUUUGCCUCUCAAGGGAGCUGGGAGAAACUCAAGUCUGAAACUCAAACUCAUCUCAGUCAUUCCUUUCCCUUCAACUAGACCUGAACCUCAGGAGAUCUGGAGUAUGUGCUGAAUUCUACUGGGAACUGAGCCCUCUGAAUAUUAUUAUUGUUUUGCUAAUACUUUUUGCUGGAAAGUACAUCAAACCAGGAUGUGUUGUACCUCUUGCUUUGCCAGACUAUUUAAAAGCAAAAGUGACCAGAUAUCCAACUUAAGGCUGAUCCAGGUUUUUCAUGAUCUAGCCAGGGGAGACAAACCUUCCAGGAAAGUCUCUAGCGAAGGCCAAGGAUUUUAGAAAGUAUCUGUGAACAAAGAAAUGCAAUGUUAGUGGGCUAAUUUCCAUAAUCAAAUGAAGCUGAUGCAAGUGCUUUGUGAAUUGAUGCCCAUCAACGAGAGACUGGAUAAAGAAAAUGUGGCACAUAUACGCCAUGGAAUACUAUGUAGCCGUAAAAAUGAACAAG